GUCGCCCAGCCAGUAUGGCUAUGACCCUCGGCUUGUAACCGAGUGGGUUCGGGUUCGAAUCCCGAGUAAGACA
RNAcentral lists this transfer RNA (73 nucleotides) under Trichonephila inaurata madagascariensis. RNAcentral's name for it is "tRNA-Thr". The record is from RNAcentral. Lineage: Eukaryota; Metazoa; Arthropoda; Arachnida; Araneae; Nephilidae.